Molecule: ribosomal RNA, 461 nt
Filed under: uncultured bacterium
Lineage: Bacteria
Description: partial 16S ribosomal RNA
Rfam family: Bacterial small subunit ribosomal RNA
Source: RNAcentral
AGUGAACGCUGGCGGCGUGCCUAAUACAUGCAAGUCGAACGGAGAUUAAGUAGCUUGCUAUUUAAUCUUAGUGGCGCACGGGUGAGUAAUAUAUAGCUAACUUGCCCAUUACUAAGGGACAACAGUUGGAAACGACUGCUAAUACCUUAUACUCCGUAUCUAUAUAAGUAGAUACGGGAAAGUUUUUCGGUAAUGGAUAGGGCUAUAUCGUAUCAGCUAGUUGGUAAGGUAAUGGCUUACCAAGGCUAUGACGCGUAACUGGUCUGAGAGGAUGAUCAGUCACACUGGAACUGAGACACGAUCCAGACUCCUACGGGAGGCAGCAGUAGGGAAUAUUGCUCAAUGGGGGAAACCCUGAAGCAGCAAUGCCGCGUGGAGGAUGACACUUUUCGGAGCGUAAACUCCUUUUCUUGGGAAAGAAUUAUGACGGUACCCAAGGAAUAAGCACCGGCUAACUCCGU